AUCGCUUCUCGGCCUUUUGGCUAAGAUCAAAGUGUAGUAUCUGUUCUUAUCAGCUUAAUAUCUGAUACGAGUCCUAUUUGGACUCAAGAUAUGAAACUUAUUUUUGGAAUGCGGCGGAGUGCUUGAAGCUUGCUUCACCUCUGCCACGGGUUGGCCCGGUAUUGCAGUACCUCCGGGAUCGGCCCACUCCCC
Molecule: small nuclear RNA, 192 nt
Organism: Ornithodoros turicata
Lineage: Eukaryota; Metazoa; Arthropoda; Arachnida; Ixodida; Argasidae
Product: U2 spliceosomal RNA
Exons: 1
Source: RefSeq, a predicted model, not a curated record